UACGGGGGGGGCAAGCGUUGUUCGGAAUUACUGGGCGUAAAGGGUUUGUAGGUGGCCCGCUAAGUCAGACUUGAAAUCCCUCAGCUUAACUGGGGAACUGCGUCUGAGACUGGCGAGCUUGAGUGCAGGAGAGGAACGCGGAAUUCCAGGUGUAGCGGUGAAAUGCGUAGAUAUCUGGAGGAACACCGGUGGCGAAGGCGGCGUUCUGGACUGUAACUGACACUGAGGAACGAAAGCCAGGGGAGCAAACGGG
This 253-nucleotide ribosomal RNA is filed under the name uncultured bacterium. Its description in RNAcentral is "partial 16S ribosomal RNA". It matches the Rfam family "Bacterial small subunit ribosomal RNA", at positions 524 to 776 of the family's 1533-position model. The record is from RNAcentral.